RNAcentral lists this ribosomal RNA (465 nucleotides) under uncultured Klebsiella sp. Its description in RNAcentral is "bacterial SSU rRNA". It matches the Rfam family "Bacterial small subunit ribosomal RNA", at positions 338 to 795 of the family's 1533-position model. The record is from RNAcentral. Lineage: Bacteria; Pseudomonadati; Pseudomonadota; Gammaproteobacteria; Enterobacterales; Enterobacteriaceae.
CCUACGGGAGGCAGCAGUGGGGAAUAUUGCACAAUGGGCGCAAGCCUGAUGCAGCCGUGCCGCGUGUGUGAAGAAGGCCUUCGGGUUGUAAAGCACUUUCAGCGGGGAGGAAGGCGGUGAGGUUAAUAACCUCAUCGAUUGACGUUACCCGCAGAAGAAGCACCGGCUAACUCCGUGCCAGCAGCCGCGGUAAUACGGAGGGUGCAAGCGUUAAUCGGAAUUACUGGGCGCAAAGCGCACGCAGGCGGUCUGUCAAGUCGGAUGUGAAAUCCCCGGGCUCAACCUGGGAACUGCAUUCGAAACUGGCAGGCUAGAGUCUUGUAGAGGGGGGUAGAAUUCCAGGUGUAGCGGUGAAAUGCGUAGAGAUCUGGAGGAAUACCGGUGGCGAAGGCGGCCCCCUGGACAAAGACUGACGCUCAGGUGCGAAAGCGUGGGGAGCAAACAGGAUUAGAUACCCCAGUAGUC